Molecule: ribosomal RNA, 498 nt
Filed under: Salmonella enterica
Lineage: Bacteria; Pseudomonadati; Pseudomonadota; Gammaproteobacteria; Enterobacterales; Enterobacteriaceae
Also listed under: 2 other names
Description: partial 23S ribosomal RNA
Rfam family: Bacterial large subunit ribosomal RNA
Source: RNAcentral
CGGUGGAUGCCCUGGCAGUCAGAGGCGAUGAAGGGCGUGCUAAUCUGCGAUAAGCGCCGGUAAGGUGAUAUGAACCGUUAUAACCGGCGAUACCCGAAUGGGGAAACCCAGUGUGACUCGUCACACUAUCAUUAACUGAAUCCAUAGGUUAAUGAGGCGAACCGGGGGAACUGAAACAUCUAAGUACCCCGAGGAAAAGAAAUCAACCGAGAUUCCCCCAGUAGCGGCGAGCGAACGGGGAGGAGCCCAGAGCCUGAAUCAGCAUGUGUGUUAGUGGAAGCGUCUGGAAAGGCGCGCGAUACAGGGUGACAGCCCCGUACACAAAAGCGCAUGUGCUGUGAGCUCGAUGAGUAGGGCGGGACACGUGGUAUCCUGUCUGAAUAUGGGGGGACCAUCCUCCAAGGCUAAAUACUCCUGACUGACCGAUAGUGAACCAGUACCGUGAGGGAAAGGCGAAAAGAACCCCGGCGAGGGGAGUGAAAAAGAACCUGAAACCGU